RNAcentral lists this transfer RNA (68 nucleotides) under Caudoviricetes sp. RNAcentral's name for it is "tRNA-OTHER". It matches the Rfam family "tRNA". Rfam says of the family: Transfer RNA (tRNA) molecules are approximately 80 nucleotides in length. Their secondary structure includes four short double-helical elements and three loops (D, anti-codon, and T loops). Further hydrogen bonds mediate the characteristic L-shaped molecular structure. tRNAs have two regions of fundamental functional importance: the anti-codon, which is responsible for specific mRNA codon recognition, and the 3' end, to which the tRNAs corresponding amino acid is attached (by aminoacyl-tRNA synthetases). tRNAs cope with the degeneracy of the genetic code in two manners: having more than one tRNA (with a specific anti-codon) for a particular amino acid; and 'wobble' base-pairing, i.e. permitting non-standard base-pairing at the 3rd anti-codon position. The record is from RNAcentral. Lineage: Duplodnaviria; Heunggongvirae; Uroviricota; Caudoviricetes.
GGGAACGUAGUUCAACGGCAGAAAGUUCGCUAUAUGGACAGAUGUGAGUUCGACUCUCACCGUUCCCG